GGGUAAGUGAAAAGAUGGUGGACCCCAGAACAUGUGCUUGGUUCAUGCCAUAUGUCUGUGGAUCACUCGUCUUGAGGAGACC
RNAcentral lists this microRNA precursor (82 nucleotides) under Procavia capensis (Cape rock hyrax). RNAcentral's name for it is "microRNA 654 (ENSPCAG00000019341.1)". It matches the Rfam family "mir-654 microRNA precursor family". The record is from RNAcentral. Lineage: Eukaryota; Metazoa; Chordata; Mammalia; Hyracoidea; Procaviidae.